This 491-nucleotide ribosomal RNA is filed under the name uncultured bacterium. Its description in RNAcentral is "partial 16S ribosomal RNA". It matches the Rfam family "Bacterial small subunit ribosomal RNA", at positions 29 to 507 of the family's 1533-position model. The record is from RNAcentral.
GUGAACGCUGGCGGUAGGCCUAACACAUGCAAGUCGAACGGCAGCACCGUAAGAGCUUGCUCUUACGGGUGGCGAGUGGCGGACGGGUGAGGAAUACAUCGGAAUCUACUUUUUCGUGGGGGAUAACGUAGGGAAACUUACGCUAAUACCGCAUACGACCUACGGGUGAAAGCAGGGGAUCUUCGGACCUUGCGCGAUUGAAUGAGCCGAUGUCGGAUUAGCUAGUUGGCGGGGUAAAGGCCCACCAAGGCGACGAUCCGUAGCUGGUCUGAGAGGAUGAUCAGCCACACUGGAACUGAGACACGGUCCAGACUCCUACGGGAGGCAGUAGUGGGGAAUAUUGGACAAUGGGCGCAAGCCUGAUCCAGCCAUACCGCGUGGGUGAAGAAGGCCUUCGGGUUGUAAAGCCCUUUUGUUGGGAAAGAAAAGCAGCAGGUUAAUACCCCGCUGUUCUGACGGUACCCAAAGAAUAAGCACCGGCUAACUUCGUG